RNAcentral lists this ribosomal RNA (427 nucleotides) under uncultured bacterium. RNAcentral's name for it is "partial 16S ribosomal RNA". It matches the Rfam family "Bacterial small subunit ribosomal RNA", at positions 355 to 774 of the family's 1533-position model. The record is from RNAcentral.
UGGGGAAUAUUGGACAAUGGGCGAAAGCCUGAUCCAGCCAUGCCGCGUGUGUGAAGAAGGUCUUCGGAUUGUAAAGCACUUUAAGUUGGGAGGAAGGGCAUUAACCUAAUACGUUAGUGUUUUGACGUUACCGACAGAAUAAGCACCGGCUAACUCUGUGCCAGCAGCCGCGGUAAUACAGAGGGUGCAAGCGUUCAUCGGAAUUACUGGGCGUAAAGCGCGCGUAGGGGGUUUGUUAAGUUGGAUGUGAAAGCCCCGGGCUCAACCUGGGAACUGCAUCCAAAACUGGCAAGCUAGAGUACGGUAGAGGGUGGUGGAAUUUCCUGUGUAGCGGUGAAAUGCGUAGAUAUAGGAAGGAACACCAGUGGCGAAGGCGACCACCUGGACUGAUACUGACACUGAGGUGCGAAAGCGUGGGGAGCAAACA